AUUGCCCUAGUAACGGCGAGUGAAGCGGCAACAGCUCAAAUUUGAAAUCUGGCUCUUUCAGGGUCCGAGUUGUAAUUUGCAGAGGGCGCUUUGGCGUUGGCAGCGGUCCAAGUUCUUUGGAACAGGACGUCACAGAGGGUGAGAAUCCCGUACGUGGUCGCUAACCUUCGCCGUGUAAAGCCCCUUCGACGAGUCGAGUUGUUUGGGAAUGCAGCUCUAAAUGGGAGGUAAAUUUCUUCUAAAGCUAAAUACUGGCCAGAGACCGAUAGCGCACAAGUAGAGUGAUCGAAAGAUGAAAAGCACUUUGGAAAGAGAGUCAAAUAGCACGUGAAAUUGUUGAAAGGGAAGCGCUUGCAGCCAGACUUGCCUGUAGUUGCUUAUCCGGACUUUUGUCCGGUGCACUCUUCUGCAGGCAGGCCAGCAUCAGUUUGGGCGGUUGGAUAAAGGUCUCUAUCACGUACCUCCCUUCGGGGUUGGCCUUAUAGGGGAGACGUCAUGCAACCAGCCUGGACUGAGGUCCGCGCAUCUGCUAGGAUGCUGGCGUAAUGGCUGUAAGCGGCCCGUCUUGAAACACGGACCAAGGAGUCUAACAUCUAUGCGAGUGUUUGGGUGUCAAGCCCAGACGCGUAAUGAAAGUGAACGGAGGUGGGAACCUUUUAGGUGCACCAUCGACCGAUCCUGAUGUCUUCGGAUGGAUUUGAGUAAGAGCAUGGCUGUUGGGACCCGAAAGAUGGUGAACUAUGCUUGAAUAGGGUGAAGCCAGAGGAAACUCUGGUGGAGGCUCGCAGCGGUUCUGACGUGCAAAUCGAUCGUCAAAUUUGGGCAUAGGGGCGAAAGACUAAUCG
RNAcentral lists this ribosomal RNA (845 nucleotides) under Wojnowiciella dactylidis. RNAcentral describes it as "eukaryotic LSU rRNA". It matches the Rfam family "Eukaryotic large subunit ribosomal RNA", at positions 74 to 937 of the family's 3401-position model. Lineage: Eukaryota; Fungi; Ascomycota; Dothideomycetes; Pleosporales; Phaeosphaeriaceae. The record is from RNAcentral.